Pseudonaja textilis is the source of this 350-nucleotide non-coding RNA. The record is from RefSeq and is a predicted model, not a curated record. Lineage: Eukaryota; Metazoa; Chordata; Lepidosauria; Squamata; Elapidae.
UACAUUUUGACCCUCUUCAUUGGGAGACUCCAGAAAAGUUCAAUCCCAAUCAUUUUUUGGAUGAAAACGGCCAGUUCAGGAAAAAGGAUGCUUUCAUGCCAUUCUCAGCAGGGAAGAGGGCCUGUCCAGGGGAGGCCCUGGCUAGGAUGGAGCUCUUCCUGUUCUUCAGUGCUCUGCUCCAGAAUUUCACUUUCUCUCUGGUUGGGGACACCAACGAUACGGAUGUAAUGUCUUUGUAUACGGACUUCAGAAAUAAUCAAUACCCCCUUAUACGAGCUGCUAAACGUUCAGUGGACACUUGAGGUCAAUAAUUAGGAGAAAGUGCUUACAUUAAUAGUUACUGAAAUAAA